Molecule: ribosomal RNA, 513 nt
Filed under: uncultured Verrucomicrobiota bacterium
Lineage: Bacteria; Pseudomonadati; Verrucomicrobiota
Description: bacterial SSU rRNA
Rfam family: Bacterial small subunit ribosomal RNA
Source: RNAcentral
GGCGGCGUGGAUAAGACAUGCAAGUCGAGCGAGAUUUUUUCCUGUAGCAAUACAGGGAAAAGUCUAGCGGCGAACGGGUGCUUAACACGUGGGCAAUCUGUCUUAAAGUGGGGGAUAGCUCGGCGAAAGCCGAAUUAAUACCGCAUGUGAUUAGAAUGGACAUCCAUUCAAAAUUAAAGUCGGGGCAACCUGACGCUUUUUGAGGAGCCCGCGGCCUAUCAGCUAGUUGGUGAGGUAACGGCUCACCAAGGCUUUGACGGGUAGCUGGUCUGAGAGGACGACCAGCCGCACUGGGACUGAGACACGGCCCAGACACCUACGGGUGGCAGCAGUCGAGAAUUUUUCUCAAUGGGGGAAACCCUGAAGGAGCGACGCCGCGUGGAGGAUGAAGGUCUUCGGAUUGUAAACUCCUGUCAUUGGGGAACAAGGUGCAUACGUUAACUGCGUGUGCAUUGAUAGUACCCGAAGANGAAGAGACGGCUAACUCUGUGCCAGCAGCCGCGGUAAUACAGA